AUUGAACGCUGGCGGCAGGCCUAACACAUGCAAGUCGAACGAGUGGCGGACGGGUGAGUAAUGUCUGGGAAACUGCCUGAUGGAGGGGGGUAACUACUGGAAACGGUAGCUAAUACCGCAUACCAUCAGAUGUGCGCAGAUGGGAUUAGCUUGUUGGUGGGGUAACGGCUCACCAAGGCGACGAUCCCUAGCUGGUCUGAGAGGAUGACCAGCCACCCUGGAACGGAGACGCGGUCCAGACUCCAACGCGAGGCAGCGGUGGGGAAGAGGGCACAAUGGGCGCAGGCCUGAUGCGGCCAUGCCGCGUGUAUGAAGAAGGCCUUCGGGUUGUGAAGUACUUUCAGCGGGGAGGAGUUACCCGAAGAAGAAGCACCGGCUAACUCCGUGCCAGCAGCCGCGGUAAUAC
Molecule: ribosomal RNA, 406 nt
Filed under: uncultured bacterium
Lineage: Bacteria
Description: partial 16S ribosomal RNA
Rfam family: Bacterial small subunit ribosomal RNA
Source: RNAcentral